AUGAUGAAAAUCCAAAUUAAUUUCACUCUUGCAGUCUCGUCUUCUGAUUCUUUGUGUGUGUGUGAGAGUGCUUGAUUACAGAGGAGAGAUCAGGUGUGUGGGUGUCAGGCAGCAAGCUGCAAACCAUCUUCAAUCACCUCUGUUUUAAAUCUGUGCUUCAUCUCCACUGUGCUGUCAGAGCGCAGAAUCUGCUAAUCAAUCUUCCUGACCUGAUUUCUGCUUUUAUCCUGUCCCUGUAAAACCUGGAAACCUCUUGCCUCUGCACCUGUUCAGAACCUGGAUCUACGGACUCACUCCGCCUGGCUUUACCCCAUUCAGCUCUCCUGUCUGGUCCGGCUCAGUUCUCCAGCUCUCAGUUCUGCCCCUGUACUCCCAGGACACCCAGCUGCCCACCUACUCACAUCCUAGUAUUUUAUUAAUAAAUUUCUUGAGGCACUUG
Scatophagus argus is the source of this 439-nucleotide long non-coding RNA. RefSeq lists it as uncharacterized. NCBI's taxonomy places the organism in Eukaryota, Metazoa, Chordata, Actinopteri, Scatophagidae. The record is from RefSeq and is a predicted model, not a curated record. The transcript is spliced from 2 exons.